RNAcentral lists this ribosomal RNA (467 nucleotides) under uncultured bacterium. RNAcentral's name for it is "partial 16S ribosomal RNA". It matches the Rfam family "Bacterial small subunit ribosomal RNA", at positions 28 to 506 of the family's 1533-position model. The record is from RNAcentral.
GACGAACGCUGGCGGCGUGCUUAACACAUGCAAGUCGAACGGAAAGGCCCUGCUUUUGUGGGGUGCUCGAGUGGCGAACGGGUGAGUAACACGUGAGUAACCUGCCCUUGACUUUGGGAUAACUUCAGGAAACUGGGGCUAAUACCGGAUAGGAGCUCCUGCUGCAUGGUGGGGGUUGGAAAGUUUCGGCGGUUGGGGAUGGACUCGCGGCUUAUCAGCUUGUUGGUGGGGUAGUGGCUUACCAAGGCUUUGACGGGUAGCCGGCCUGAGAGGGUGACCGGCCACAUUGGGACUGGGAUACGGCCCAGACUCCUACGGGAGGCAGCGGUGGGGAAUAUGGCACAAGGGGCGGAAGCCGGAUGCAGCAACGCCGCGGGCGGGAUGACGGCCUUCGGGUUGUAAACCGCUUUCGCCUGUGACGAAGCGUGAGUGACGGUAAUGGGUAAAGAAGCACCGGCUAACUACGG